GACGAACGUUGGCGGCGUGCUUAACACAUGCAAGUCGAACGGAAAGGCCCUGCUUUUGUGGGGUGCUCGAGUGGCGAACGGGUGAGUAACACGUGAGUAACCUGCCCUUGACUUUGGGAUAACUUCAGGAAACUGGGGCUAAUACCGGAUAGGAGCUCCUGCUGCAUGGUGGGGGUUGGAAAGUUUCGGCGGUUGGGGAUGGACUCGCGGCUUAUCAGCUUGUUGGUGGGGUAGUGGCUUACCAAGGCUUUGACGGGUAGCCGGCCUGAGAGGGUGACCGGCCACAUUGGGACUGAGAUACGGCCCAGACUCCUACGGGAGGCAGCAGUGGGGAAUAUUGCACAAUGGGCGGAAGCCUGAUGCAGCAACGCCGCGUGCGGGAUGACGGCCUUCGGGUUGUAAACCGCUUUCGCCUGUGACGAAGCGUGAGUGACGGUAAUGGGUAAAGAAGCACCGGCUAACCACGUGCCAGCAGCCGCGGUGAUACGUAGGGUGCGAGCGUUGUCCGGAUUUAUUGGGCGUAAAGGGCUCGUAGGUGGUUGAUCGCGUCGGAAGUGUAAUCUUGGGGCUUAACCCUGAGCGUGCUUUCGAUACGGGUUGACUUGAGGAAGGUAGGGGAGAAUGGAAUUCCUGGUGGAGCGGUGGAAUGCGCAGAUAUCAGGAGGAACACCAGUGGCGAAGGCGGUUCUCUGGGCCUUUCCUGACGCUGAGGAGCGAAAGCGUGGGGAGCGAACAGGCUUAGAUACCCUGGUAGUCCACGCCGUAAACGGUGGGUACUAGGUGUGGGGUCCAUUCCACGGGUUCCGUGCCGUAGCUAACGCUUUAAGUACCCCGCCUGGGGAGUACGGCCGCAAGGCUAAAACUCAAAGGAAUUGACGGGGCCCCGCACAAGCGGCGGAGCAUGCGGAUUAAUUCGAUGCAACGCGUAGAACCUUACCUGGGUUUGACAUGGAUCGGGAGUGCUCAGAGAUGGGUGUGCCUCUUUUGGGGUCGGUUCACAGGUGGUGCAUGCCUGUCGUCAGCUCGUGUCGUGAGAUGUUGGGUUAAGUCCCGCAACGAGCGCAACCCUUGUUCACUGUUGCCAGCACGUUAUGGUGGGGACUCAGUGGAGACCGCCGGGGUCAACUCGGAGGAAGGUGGGGAUGACGUCAAGUCAUCAUGCCCCUUAUGUCCAGGGCUUCACGCAUGCUACAAUGGCUGGUACAGAGAGUGGCGAGCCUGUGAGGGUGAGCGAAUCUCGGAAAGCCGGUCUCAGUUCGGAUUGGGGUCUGCAACUCGACCUCAUGAAGUCGGAGUCGCUAGUAAUCGCAAAUCAGCAACGCUGCGGUGAAUACGUUCCCGGGGCU
This 1346-nucleotide ribosomal RNA is filed under the name uncultured bacterium. Its description in RNAcentral is "partial 16S ribosomal RNA". It matches the Rfam family "Bacterial small subunit ribosomal RNA", at positions 28 to 1381 of the family's 1533-position model. The record is from RNAcentral.